GACACGAUGGCCGAGUGGUCUAAGGCGGUAGAUUUAAGUUUGUCAGCAAUUGCAAUACUCAGAUCUCUACUGGAGCAAUCCGCGUGAGUUCGAACCUCACUCGUGUCA
Dendryphion nanum is the source of this 108-nucleotide non-coding RNA. NCBI's taxonomy places the organism in Eukaryota, Fungi, Ascomycota, Dothideomycetes, Pleosporales, Torulaceae. The record is from the annotation of a GenBank genome assembly.